CUGGGACUGAGACACUGCCCAGACUCCUACGGGAGGCUGCAGUCGAGAAUCUUCCUCAAUGGACGAAAGUCUGAAGGAGCGACGCCGCGUGCAGGAUGAAGGCUUUCGGGUCGUAAACUGCUUUUGUUAGGAAAGAAACUCCCGUUGUAUAAUAUAUUACGGGAUUGACGGUACCUAAAGAAUAAGCCACGGCCAACUCCGUGCCAGCAGCCGCGGUAAUACGGAGGAGGCGAGCGUUACUCGGAAUUAUUGGGUGUAAAGGGCAAGUAGGCGGCAUAUUAAGUGAGGGGUGAAAUCUUCCGACUCAAUCGGAAAAUUGCCUUUCAAACUAAUAAGCUUGAGAUUGGAAGAGGGAAACGGAAUUAGCAGUGUAAGGGUGAAAUCUGUAGAUAUUGCUAAGAACACCAGCGGCGAAGGCGGUUUCCUGGUCCAAAUCUGACGCUAAAUUGCGAAAGCUAGGGUAGCAAACAGAAUUAGAUACUCUGGUAGUCCUAGCUGUAAACGAUGAGCACUAGGUGUUGGUUUUUAUUAAUCAGUGCCGCAGCUAACGCGUUAAGUGCUCCACCUGGGGACUACGGCCGCAAGGCUAAAACUCAAAGGAAUUGACGGGGACCCGCACAAGCGGUGGAACAUGUGGUUUAAUUCGAUGCUACGCGAAGAACCUCACCAAGGCUUGACAUGUAAGAAGUAGUGAACUGAAAGGGGAACGACCCGUUAAACCGGGAACUUACACAGGUGCUGCAUGGCUGUCGUCAGCUCGUGUCGUGAGAUGUUGGGUUAAGUCCCGCAACGAGCGCAACCAUUGCCCUAUGUUGCUACCCCCGCCCACCUUAAUUUAUUUUGAGGAUGGCGGGGCGCACUCUUAGGGGACUGCCCGGGAUAACCGGGAGGAAGGUGGAGAUGACGUCAAGUCAGUACGGCCCUUAUGCCUUGGGCUACACACGUGUUACAAUGGCUGGUACAAAGGGUUGCCAACCCGCGAGGGGGAGCUAAUCUCAAAAAGCCAGCCCCAGUUCGGAUUGGAGUCUGCAAUUCGACUCCAUGAAGCCGGAAUCGCUAGUAAUGGAAGAUCAGCUCGCUUCCGUGAAUACGUUCCCGGGUCUUGUACACACCGCCCGUCAAGCGAUGAAAGCUGGGGGCACCCGAAGUCCUGUGUAGGCAGGCCGAAGGUGAAACCGGUGAUUGGCGCUAAGUCGGAACAAGGUA
Molecule: ribosomal RNA, 1206 nt
Filed under: metagenome
Description: bacterial SSU rRNA
Rfam family: Bacterial small subunit ribosomal RNA
Source: RNAcentral